RNAcentral lists this non-coding RNA (27 nucleotides) under Rattus norvegicus (Norway rat). Lineage: Eukaryota; Metazoa; Chordata; Mammalia; Rodentia; Muridae. The record is from RNAcentral.
UGAAAUGGUUAAGAAGAGCCAACCAGU